AAUCGCCCAUAUUUUCCUCAUCGCCUCUAUCUCUUCAGCCGCCACCACAGAUCUUCAACUGCUCAUGGAAGAUCUAUUCAAUUUCGAAAAAAAUUGUAGAUCGAGUCCGCCGUCCUUGUGCUUCCACAGUUCCGCUCAGAUCCAGUCGCCGAGACGGGCACGAGGUGAACCCCAUCGCGGUGUUGUCGGUCUGCUGGUAGCGAAGUGAACCCCAUCGCCCUAGUAGCGGCAGGCCUCUUCCGUGAGGUGCAGUGCGUGUAGGCGUGCACCCAGUGGUAGACGGCCUAACCCAUUCUAGUGGUGCUUCUGUCCUCGUACGAUGGGAAGAACGCACCCAGGUGAGACCUUGAAAAGUUGUCAUGUCGAGGAUACCUAACCGACUGCGAAAGACCAGUUUUUACAGAACGAGAUGCAGAAAAUGUACAACUAGAUGAAUAUGGUUUACAAGGUCCUGCACCGAUUGAUAACGUCUCACCGGUAAUGUAUAAUGAAUCUUCAGCCCAAGUAACAUAAAUUAUUUCAGAUCAGUAUGGUGUAUGAACCUGCGGUCAUGGUUGACGCUUGGCUAAGUGGAUUACAUGGUAGGUGUGCUCUACCAGGCAGCAGCAGGCCAGCAGCAGGCAAUGUACAGGUGCCAAUCCAGAGAUGAAGUGUGUGACAGAGCAGAAGUAGCAGCGUAAUUAAUCUAUGCCUCACAUAUUGAGCUAAUUCUGGCAUGAGUUGGCCUGUUGUUCUGUAAGACCGCAACAUCUUGGUUUGGUUAGCUACCUCUCGGAACUGAAUCCGUACAUGCAUUGUGUUAAUUUUCAUUUAUAUUGUUGCCUUUCAAGUAUUUCACUUUGGUUUUGCAUUGAGUGACUUAUAUAAGUAAACUAUGGUGGCAUCAAGGCUUAGAGUGAAACCAUAGAUGUGAACCAUGCGGACUAAUUGUUUUUUUUCUUCAAGCUUAACAUACAGAUUUUAUGUUCCAUUGUUUCGCAACUUCAGGAGAUUGUUUGCAUUUGUAAUCUAGUCAUUGUUGUGAACCGAAAGAAUUGGUCCAUCGGCAUGAUUUACUUGUAAAGCCAAUGCCAAGGUACAUUCCAUUUUGUUUUCUUCUCAGUUAUAAGCCUCUGUUUCAUCAGAUACCAAUAUACCAUGAGCAAUUAUCUAAUCCUCUGAAGUCUGAUUUAUCUAACUGCAGCCAUGUAUGUAAUCUUCUGAAUACUUUCUUAUUAAGUACGUAACCAAGCAUCACUUUUGAUGUACAUGCUUUACAUGCUGAAUGACUGAAUCCUUAGAGUGGCUUCUGAACUAAUCUCUACUUUACUUGUAAAGCACUCUAUGUUUUAUACAGAACCAAUAUAUACUUAUUUUUUAUCUUCACUCAAGUAAGCACUCUAUAUUUCUAUAUGGUUGUUUAGUAUUUAGUAACUUUUUUUUCGUGCAGCAGCCAGUACUAGGUAUGCCAUAUGCAACUUUAUGCCAACGAAGAGCUAAAAUACCAAUGUGAAGAGAUGGUGCUUUCAUUAUACGGAUACUGCUCUGUCACAGCGGUGGCAUGUGCUUCAUUUGUGCAUGUGGAAAGAAGAAUUUGUUUUUCAGCUGACAUUGUCUACAGAGAAAUUGUUUGUGAAGGUUUUUAAGCAACAACACAGAAUUUAAAGCAAACCAACAUUAGUGGCCAUGGAGAGCUGAUGUAUCAUUUCCAUGCGGAAGCUUCCCCCUAUUCGAACUACAAGAAGAAAAUGUAUAAGAUUUGCAGGAUUUUGCCUGGUCAAGAUUGUAAUUGUUUCAUGAAAAUGUACAAAUAAAUUGUAAAUUACUGCUAUUCUCUAGAAAUAAAGUUCUUUUUUUA
Molecule: long non-coding RNA, 1837 nt
Organism: Lolium perenne
Lineage: Eukaryota; Viridiplantae; Streptophyta; Magnoliopsida; Poales; Poaceae
Source: RefSeq, a predicted model, not a curated record